GAUGAACGCUGGCGGCGUGCCUAAUACAUGCAAGUCGAGCGAACGGACGAGAAGCUUGCUUCUCUGAUGUUAGCGGCGGACGGGUGAGUAACACGUGGAUAACCUACCUAUAAGACUGGGAUAACUUCGGGAAACCGGAGCUAAUACCGGAUAAUAUUUUGAACCGCAUGGUUCAAAAGUGAAAGACGGUCUUGCUGUCACUUAUAGAUGGAUCCGCGCUGCAUUAGCUAGUUGGUGAGGUAACGGCUUACCAAGGCAACGAUGCAUAGCCGACCUGAGAGGGUGAUCGGCCACACUGGGACUGAGACACGGUCCAGACUCCUACGGGAGGCAGCAGUAGGGAAUCUUCCGCAAUGGGCGAAAGCCUGACGGAGCAACGCCGCGUGAGUGAUGAAGGUCUUCGGAUCGUAAAACUCUGUUAUUAGGGAAGAACAUAUGUGUAAGUAACUGUGCACAUCUUGACGGUACCUAAUCAGAAAGCCACGGCUAACUACGUG
RNAcentral lists this ribosomal RNA (497 nucleotides) under uncultured bacterium. RNAcentral describes it as "partial 16S ribosomal RNA". It matches the Rfam family "Bacterial small subunit ribosomal RNA", at positions 28 to 507 of the family's 1533-position model. The record is from RNAcentral.